This 484-nucleotide ribosomal RNA is filed under the name uncultured bacterium. RNAcentral describes it as "partial 16S ribosomal RNA". It matches the Rfam family "Bacterial small subunit ribosomal RNA", at positions 30 to 507 of the family's 1533-position model. The record is from RNAcentral.
AUUGAACGCUGGCGGAAUGCUUUACACAUGCAAGUCGAACGGCAGCACAGUGACAACUCGCUUUGCGGGGGGCCGACUGGUGAGUAGUACAUCAGAACGUGCCCGGUCAUUGUUUCUAACGUGGCAACGUAUACACUCAUACCCCAUUAGCUCUGAGGAUCAACGGGUGAAACCUUCGGGCCUCCGGCCCUCGCGCGAUCCGAUGUCCGAUUAGGUAGUUGGUGGGGUAAAGGCCUACCAAGCCGACGAUCUGUAGCUGGUCUGAGAGGAUGAGCAGCCACACUGGAACUGAGACACGGUCCAGACUCCUACGGGAGGCAGCAGUGGGGAAUAUUGGACAAUGGGCGCAAGCCUGAUCCAGCCAUACCGCGUGCAGGACGAAGGCCUUCGGGUUGUAAAGUGCUUUUGUAUGGAACGAAAAGGAGCUGGUUAAUACCCGGGGGUUAUGACGGUACCGAAAGAAUAAGCACCGGCUAACUACGUG